UUGAUAUGAUGAGUACAUGAUAUGGUUUAGGAGUCGUUAAAAGAAUUAUUAUUACUAAUUGAUGGAGUUUAAGUUGUUAGAUGCAUUUGAUGAAUUAUAUAUUAUUAUUAUUGAUUGUGAAUCUCACCCCUUCUGCUUGAAAAUGUUGCCCUUCGUAUGGGUAACUUGCAGGUAUUAAAGUUUAGUAGGAGUGGUGGCUCAAGUGUCUUAGGGCUCUGAUACGUAACGGGAUGG
RNAcentral lists this long non-coding RNA (234 nucleotides) under Medicago truncatula (barrel medic). RNAcentral's name for it is "long non-coding RNA (MTRU_LNC007485)". Lineage: Eukaryota; Viridiplantae; Streptophyta; Magnoliopsida; Fabales; Fabaceae. The record is from RNAcentral.